Molecule: long non-coding RNA, 702 nt
Organism: Daphnia pulicaria
Lineage: Eukaryota; Metazoa; Arthropoda; Branchiopoda; Diplostraca; Daphniidae
Exons: 4
Source: RefSeq, a predicted model, not a curated record
UCCUUGCCAGUUUCAGCAAACAGAAAUGGUCUUUUUGAUUACUUUUUUUUACUUUUGUGACUAUCUAAAGCCGGUCAGUUUUGGACGUGUCUAAUAGAUGGCGUGAAGGAAUAUUGUGUUGUCAAUUGUGGGCUCAUGGCGGCUCGUUGUCUAAAUCUAUCUUCAGCUACAGCUAUUUUCUUCGAAAGUUACAAAUGAACACAUAGGUUCAUUCGAGUGAUUUCGUUUUUAUCUUGGCGUUUUCAUGUGGAUAACCUUAGUGUUUCUCAUCAACUUACAGAAGGAAACGUAGCCUACCGUUGACUAUUUUGUUCAAAAUGUGCCAUCGAAAUGACACAGGAUUCAUUAGAAUUAUCUGCUGUAAGAACUGGACUUGCUAGAUCACCAAACCCAUCACAGACCAAUCUCUCAUUCCAUCUUCUAGAGAACCUUGGCUAACUGUUUGGCGGUUUCAAGUGUUUGAAACUAUAGGUUUCUAAAUUUGCAUGACAGACCUUAAGAAAAGUCAUGUUGAAGAAAAAGGACUGACUGACAGUCAACAAGGUAUGCUACCUUGUUUGGUAACCUGUUGGAAACUUCCAUUGAAUCUCCUGUUUUACUUCCUUAAGCUUGAUUUGAGGGUAACUCCUUUGCUACUUAUCAUGGACUUCAUCCAUUGGUGAUGCUGUAAUUCAAGAGAAUGCUGUCAUUCAAGACUAUUAA